GACGAACGCUGGCGGCGUGCUUAACACAUGCAAGUCGAACGGAAAGGCCCUGCUUUUGUGGGGUGCUCGAGUGGCGAACGGGUGAGUAACACGUGAGUAACCUGCCCUUGACUUUGGGAUAACUUCAGGAAACUGGGGCUAAUACCGGAUAGGAGCUCCUGCUGCAUGGUGGGGGUUGGAAAGUUUCGGCGGUUGGGGAUGGACUCGCGGCUUAUCAGCUUGUUGGUGGGGUAGUGGCUUACCAAGGCUUUGACGGGUAGCCGGCCUGAGAGGGUGACCGGCCACAUUGGGACUGAGAUACGGCCCAGACUCCUACGGGAGGCAGCAGUGGGGAAUAUUGCACAAUGGGCGGAAGCCUGAUGCAGCAACGCCGCGUGCGGGAUGACGGCCUUCGGGUUGUAAACCGCAUUAGCCUGUGACGAAGCGUGAGUGACGGUAAUGGGUAAAGAAGCACCGGCUAACUACGUG
This 468-nucleotide ribosomal RNA is filed under the name uncultured bacterium. RNAcentral's name for it is "partial 16S ribosomal RNA". It matches the Rfam family "Bacterial small subunit ribosomal RNA", at positions 28 to 507 of the family's 1533-position model. The record is from RNAcentral.